GAAAGAGUAGCUUAAAAUAAAAGCGUCGAGCUUUUAACUCGGAAAUGGAUACCCCUCUUUUU
Molecule: transfer RNA, 62 nt
Filed under: Falcolipeurus marginalis
Lineage: Eukaryota; Metazoa; Arthropoda; Insecta; Psocodea; Philopteridae
Description: tRNA-Lys
Rfam family: tRNA
About the family: Transfer RNA (tRNA) molecules are approximately 80 nucleotides in length. Their secondary structure includes four short double-helical elements and three loops (D, anti-codon, and T loops).
Source: RNAcentral